GUCGAUUUGAUGAGCUCUCCAACAAGCCCGAUGUUCCUGCUGAUGAUUAGUCUACAAAGUAUCUAAUGGGCAAUUCUCCAUGGAGAGAAUGGUCAUUGCUCAUUGAGAGGAUGGUGAAUGGCUUUUGAUUAGAUUUUAGGGAACAGGGAUGCCUCCAAAAUGAUCCCAUUGGCUAGGACUUUGAAGAGGACAAACUCUUGUAAGAACAGGACCUCCACUGUGCCAGCAUCUAAAGGUUUAGAGGCAGCAGGACGUUGUGGAUACAGUACUGUAUUUCCAUCGGGGAAACCUGGGUUUGAAUCCUGCCUCAGAUUCUUGGGAUUCUGGGCUCAAGAUGUUGCAAAUCUUCCACAAACUCUCCAAGGCUGAUCAGAGGGAAAGCCAGGAACACCCAACCCCCUAGUGUCUGCCCCAGAAGGGGUUGAUGGUUUCUCAAGAUACACUGCAAAAUUCUCUUCCUCUGACCUCAUCAAGGACCCAUAGCAAAUCUUAAAGCAGCCCAGGAAGUCUCAAAUCGCUUGUAUAAACCUUACAUCUGACUACACUCCAUUCUGAACUAAGCUAAUUACACUUACAUUAUCAUUAUCAUUACACCAUCCAGCUGGCCCUCACGAAAAUCUUUCAAAGCCACAUAGCGAAUAUUACAUUUAAUCCUGGAGGUGACGGGAACCUGUGAAAUGUAUGGGAGGGGGACAAAGUUGUGCUUGAGGAAAAUUAAUUUGACAGAGCAUUCCUGGGGAGUCAUGUGAAAUUGGUCAAAAAAAU
This 765-nucleotide long non-coding RNA is filed under the name Monodelphis domestica (gray short-tailed opossum). RNAcentral's name for it is "lncRNA (ENSMODG00000032442.2)". The record is from RNAcentral. Lineage: Eukaryota; Metazoa; Chordata; Mammalia; Didelphimorphia; Didelphidae.